UUGGCACCUCGAUGUCGGCUCAUCACAUCCUGGGGCUGUAGCCGGUCCCAAGGGUAUGGCUGUUCGCCAUUUAAAGUGGUACGUGAGCUGGGUUUAAAACGUCGUGAGACAGUUUGGUCCCUAUCUGCCGUGGGCGUUGGAUGUUUGAGGGGGGCUGCUCCUAGUACGAGAGGACCGGAGUGGACGAACCUCUGGUGUACCGGUUGUGACGCCAGUCGCAUUGCCGGGUAGCUAAGUUCGGGAGAGAUAACCGCUGAAAGCAUCUAAGCGGGAAACUUGCCCCAAGAUGAGACAUCCCCUGGUGUAAGCCAGCUAAAGGGUCGCGGAAGACCACCGCGUUGAUAGGUCGGGUGUGGAAGCGCAGCAAUGCGUUAAGCUAACCGAUACUAAUUGCCCGUGCGGCUUGAUCCU
RNAcentral lists this ribosomal RNA (411 nucleotides) under Pseudohongiella sp. Its description in RNAcentral is "partial 23S ribosomal RNA". It matches the Rfam family "Bacterial large subunit ribosomal RNA", at positions 2518 to 2925 of the family's 2925-position model. The record is from RNAcentral. Lineage: Bacteria; Pseudomonadati; Pseudomonadota; Gammaproteobacteria; Pseudomonadales; Pseudohongiellaceae.